RNAcentral lists this ribosomal RNA (184 nucleotides) under Pseudomonas sp. RNAcentral describes it as "partial 16S ribosomal RNA". It matches the Rfam family "Bacterial small subunit ribosomal RNA", at positions 80 to 267 of the family's 1533-position model. Lineage: Bacteria; Pseudomonadati; Pseudomonadota; Gammaproteobacteria; Pseudomonadales; Pseudomonadaceae. The record is from RNAcentral.
UCGGGAUGCCGGCGAGCGGCGGACGGGUGAGUAAUGCCUAGGAAUCUGCCUGGUAGUGGGGGAUAACUCGGGGAAACUCGAGCUAAUACCGCAUACGUCCUACGGGAGAAAGCGGGGGAUCUUCGGACCUCGCGCUACCAGAUGAGCCUAGGUCGGAUUAGCUAGUUGGUGAGGUAAAGGCUCA